GACGAACGCUGGCGGCGUGCUUAACACAUGCGAGUCGAACGGAAAGGCCCUUCGGGGUACUCGAGUGGCGAACGGGUGAGUAACACGUGGGUGAUCUGCCCUGCACUUUGGGAUAAGCCUGGGAAACUGGGUCUAAUACCGAAUAGGACCACGCGCUUCAUGGUGUGUGGUGGAAAGCUUUUGCGGUGUGGGAUGGGCCCGCGGCCUAUCAGCUUGUUGGUGGGGUAAUGGCCUACCAAGGCGACGACGGGUAGCCGGCCUGCGAGGGUGACCGGCCACACUGGGACUGCGAUACGGCCCAGACUCCUACGGGAGGCAGCAGUGGGGAAUAUUGCACAAUGGGCGCAAGCCUGAUGCAGCGACGCCGCGUGAGGGAUGACGGCCUUCGGGUUGUAAACCUCUUUCAAUAGGGACGAAGCGCAAGUGACGGUACCUAUAGAAGAAGCACCGGCCAACUACGUG
This 462-nucleotide ribosomal RNA is filed under the name uncultured bacterium. Its description in RNAcentral is "partial 16S ribosomal RNA". It matches the Rfam family "Bacterial small subunit ribosomal RNA", at positions 28 to 507 of the family's 1533-position model. The record is from RNAcentral.